CACGCCGCGUGAGUGAUGAAGGUUUUCGGAUCGUAAAGCUCUGUUGUUAGGGAAGAACAAGUGCGAGAGUAACUGCUCGCACCUUGACGGUACCUAACCAGAAAGCCACGGCUAACUACGUGCCAGCAGCCGCGGUAAUACGUAGGUGGCAAGCGUUGUCCGGAAUUAUUGGGCGUAAAGGGCUCGCAGGCGGUUUCUUAAGUCUGAUGUGAAAGCCCCCGGCUCAACCGGGGAGGGUCAUUGGAAACUGGGAAACUUGAGUGCAGAAGAGGAGAGUGGAAUUCCACGUGUAGCGGUGAAAUGCGUAGAGAUGUGGAGGAACACCAGUGGCGAAGGCGACUCUCUGGUCUGUAACUGACGCUGAGGAGCGAAAGCGUGGGGAGCGAACAGGAUUAGAUACCCUGGUAGUCCACGCCGUAAACGAUGAGUGCUAAGUGUUAGGGGGUUUCCGCCCCUUAGUGCUGCAGCUAACGCAUUAAGCACUCCGCCUGGGGAGUACGGUCGCAAGACUGAAACUCAAAGGAAUUGACGGGGGCCCGCACAAGCGGUGGAGCAUGUGGUUUAAUUCGAAGCAACGCGAAGAACCUUACCAGGUCUUGACAUCCUCUGACAACCCUAGAGAUAGGGCUUUCCCUUCGGGGACAGAGUGACAGGUGGUGCAUGGUUGUCGUCAGCUCGUGUCGUGAGAUGUUGGGUUAAGUCCCGCAACGAGCGCAACCCUUGAUCUUAGUUGCCAGCAUUUAGUUGGGCACUCUAAGGUGACUGCCGGUGACAAACCGGAGGAAGGUGGGGAUGACGUCAAAUCAUCAUGCCCCUUAUGACCUGGGCUACACACGUGCUACAAUGGACAGAACAAAGGGCUGCAAGACCGCAAGGUUUAGCCAAUCCCAUAAAUCUGUUCUCAGUUCGGAUCGCAGUCUGCAACUCGACUGCGUGAAGCUGGAAUCGCUAGUAAUCGCGGAUCAGCAUGCCGC
This 974-nucleotide ribosomal RNA is filed under the name Bacillus safensis. RNAcentral's name for it is "bacterial SSU rRNA". It matches the Rfam family "Bacterial small subunit ribosomal RNA", at positions 393 to 1360 of the family's 1533-position model. Lineage: Bacteria; Bacillati; Bacillota; Bacilli; Caryophanales; Bacillaceae. The record is from RNAcentral.